GAACAUAGCUUAAAGAGAGAAAGAAAAAUAGCCAAAGAAGAUGAAGACUAUCACCUUUAAAUCCACUGUACAUUAUGAGGAAAACGAUGAGUCGAAGGAAGAAGAAGAUGAAGAGGAGAGUGAAGAUGCUGAGGAUACGGCACUACUUACAAGAAAAUUCAAAAAAAUUUUCAUAGAGAGAAGUAUGAAGAAGAAAAAAAAUGAAGAAAAAAAAGAAAGAAGGAGUGUCAUAUGCUACCAUUGCAACAAGAGAAGACACUACAAGCUGAGUUAUCUCUUUCUCAAGAAGCGCCCCAAA
This 298-nucleotide long non-coding RNA is filed under the name Elaeis guineensis (African oil palm). Its description in RNAcentral is "long non-coding RNA (EGUI_LNC034261)". The record is from RNAcentral. Lineage: Eukaryota; Viridiplantae; Streptophyta; Magnoliopsida; Arecales; Arecaceae.